AUUCUUACCCAUUUAUGGUCGACAAAAAGGUGAAACAUCUUGAUCUUUCUUCUGAAUCCCAUCCCUUUUCCUUCACCAGUUCGAUCAUAGCCUGGUGAUGAGUAACUAAAAAACUGAUAUGUUACAAGCUCAAAGCACACCAGGUUGCUUAACCGGUGAUGUUGAGAAUAAUAGUGAACCCUUACUACAUCUUCCCUUUCUUUUUUGGUCCCAUUCCCCCCUUCUCCCUCUCCUUCUUGUGAGGAUUGUGUGUCGGGUUUUGGACCUCCUACGAAUAUAUGAUUGGGUGCGAUAUAAGGCAAUGAGAAACAGACAUCUCUGCAUAGGGAGAAGGGGGGACACUCAGAAGCUUGAAGAUCAUGCAAAUGCCACAGCAUGACCAUUUACAUAUUGGGGCCAAAGUGAGAAAUUUGUCCCUUUGCAUUCAGCAAAAUGAUUCAAAAGCGCCCCUUAUGUAAAAUUCAGUUACUUGGGACUUGGGAGGCACGUUAUGCAUU
Molecule: long non-coding RNA, 497 nt
Organism: Lytechinus variegatus (green sea urchin)
Lineage: Eukaryota; Metazoa; Echinodermata; Echinoidea; Temnopleuroida; Toxopneustidae
Exons: 2
Source: RefSeq, a predicted model, not a curated record